This 795-nucleotide long non-coding RNA is filed under the name Xyrichtys novacula (pearly razorfish). The record is from RNAcentral. Lineage: Eukaryota; Metazoa; Chordata; Actinopteri; Labriformes; Labridae.
CACACACACACACACACACACACACACACACACACACUACAAACAGUGCAUGCACAAAAUAUUAUAAAAACAAUGGAAAAAAUAUAUAUACAUAUAUAAGAUAAAUAGAAAGAAAGAUUGAUUGGUUGUGCAAUAUUUUUCACAUUAUGUUAUUUAUUAUAUGCAGGGUUCACGCACAGAGAGAGACCAGAGGAAGUACAGAAAUGUAGAGGAACUGCCAUUGUCCAGCGAUGCAAUAUCACUGUGUGCCUUAUUUUCAAAUGUGAACUAAUGUAGUACAGGGCAUCGACAACUGAAUGUGUUUGGAUAGUCACUAAGUCACUAUUUCUUUUGUUUAUUAUUGUAAUUAUUAUUUUCAUGAAUGAUCCAAUCUAUGGCAUUUGUUUUUGCUUUGAGUUUGCUGGCUGAAGUUGUAGCACCUGGCCUGAAGCCUAAUUAGGCUAAUGGUAUCAGUUCGUUUGACACAGAUGACAGUUGUUGUUGCUGUUGUUUGACACAAGCCAUGUUUUGUAAUGUGCAUUUAAACAGAAUUUAAAUGUUUUAAAAUGUGAAUCUAAUUGUUUUGACUCUUUUUUGGGGUGGAGUUCUAUUAUUUGUAUUAAUACAAUUCAUUUUCUGUAAUGUCGACCAAAUGCAUGUUGUCCGCUGUAGUGGACAUGUCACUAAAAACUUAGCAGAAACAGGUAGAAAAAAAAUUCCAACUGCAAUAUUAUUUAUAUGCCUUAUAUUGAAUAAAAACACAUAGUAAGAAUUUUUUAACUCAAUAUAUCAUAAUUCAUGCAUGAAAGGGUUAAU